GCCCAGGUGGCGGAAUUGGUAGACGCAGCAGACUCAAAAUCUGCCGUUCGUAAGGAUGUGCUGGUUCGAUUCCAGUCCUGGGCACCG
This 87-nucleotide transfer RNA is filed under the name Chitinophagaceae bacterium. RNAcentral's name for it is "tRNA-Leu". It matches the Rfam family "tRNA". From Rfam's summary of the family: Transfer RNA (tRNA) molecules are approximately 80 nucleotides in length. The record is from RNAcentral. Lineage: Bacteria; Pseudomonadati; Bacteroidota; Chitinophagia; Chitinophagales; Chitinophagaceae.